This 253-nucleotide ribosomal RNA is filed under the name uncultured bacterium. RNAcentral describes it as "partial 16S ribosomal RNA". It matches the Rfam family "Bacterial small subunit ribosomal RNA", at positions 524 to 776 of the family's 1533-position model. The record is from RNAcentral.
UACGGAGGGUGCAAGCGUUAUCCGGAUUCACUGGGUUUAAAGGGUGCGUAGGCGGGUUGGUAAGUCAGUGGUGAAAUCUUCAAGCUUAACUUGGAAACUGCCGUUGAUACUAUCAAUCUUGAAUGUUGUGGAGGUAAGCGGAAUAUGUCAUGUAGCGGUGAAAUGCUUAGAUAUGACAUAGAACACCAAUUGCGUAGGCAGCUUACUACACGAUCAUUGACGCUGAGGCACGAAAGCGUGGGGAGCAAACAGG